CAGUGGUACCAACACCUACCCUGCUGCUGCUACCGUCCUCCCCGCUUGUAGGUACCCCGCCCGGCGGUGGUACCUCUACCUCGAGGAAGAGGGGAUGGUGCGUUGGAAGGAGGGUCGCGGUUGUCUCCCGGCCGAUGGUACUGCGCUGUCGCGGCAGCGUUCGGAGCGUCCCGACACGUAGAGCAGCAGACGGUGCGGGAUGGUCCUCGAGGUAAUGGGUGCGCAGAGGAGACUCCUCCCCUGCCACCGAACACGCGGCCGCACCAACCGAGGUGGAGGGGCGGCUGGAUACUGAGGUGUACGCAGCGGCAGAAGCUGGCGUCCAGGUACAGGAGCUAGACGAAGGAAACGAAGGGCAUCCAAAGGCGUAUCUAGACCGGCAAACUAAACUACGCCUACGCUUAAACCUAGAGGUAGCGACAUCCAAAGGGCAUCCAAAGGACAAGCAUGAGUGCAAGCUUAAUCGUUACUUAGGGAGUCAAAUACGUCAAAGCAACACCAACUAACUGUAGGGACACUUCUAUUUUAAGUCCUGGUUGACAAUCGAAAAACACUUCGUUUUUGUUAACCAUUUUUUAGCAUCUUUGGGGGUUAGUCAGCUAAAUAUCAACUGUCUUCUUCAUACUAAACCACAACCACACACACUUGAAGACUGUAAAACUAGAGACUUACGAUCAACCUGUAAAACGAUCAUACUGUAAAACUAUAGACUUACGAUCAAACUGUAAAACUAUAGACUUAGGCAAAGAGAAGGGGAGUAGAAAAGAAGAAGACGAGAGACAGAAUGGGGGAAGAGUAGAGAGAAAGCUUGGUCCUGCAGUGGUACCCUCUUCUUCCGCACUACACAACACGACGACGAACCCUCCCUGCGGUACCCGGAGGGAUGAGACGAAGAAGAGAAGGGGAUUGAGGUAGUUCCACUACCUAACCAUGUUGCUGGAUGAGGGGACGAAGGAUACAAUUAAACCACACGCUACACCUACACUACAUAAAAUCCGUACUAAUUUAUGCAUAAAACCAAGUUGAGACUGACUUUGUUGAACAACCAAGUCAAAGAACAUACUUCUUGUUUAUACUGCUUGUGAAAAAGAAAAGGAAAAACAAGUUCUAAGUAAAGAUUAAGAUUUGGUUUGACUUUAACGUUUAUCAGAUCUUACUUACUUCGUCUCUCAGGAAGGAAGAAACCGUCGACCUGUUAAGGAAGAGUUCCACGACCACAAACACCUCCACUAACUGGAGAAAAAAAAUGAGACACAUAGUUCCACGUCGACGACUCGUAACUAUCCACAACAAGCCACAUGGAGCUGUACUAAAGGUCCUGUACUUUACAGUCGAUAGAUUCGACGAGGAAACAAGGACCUGUACUAAAUAGGAAGCUAAACUAGUUGUAAUAGAACAAUACAGAGAACAGGCAGUACACGUCGCCGUUGUCCUAAACGUCUCAUGUUCCCACCCGAGUAGCUCCAAACGCCACCAUCCGAGCGAGCCGGGGUCGCAGAAGACAACUUGCCUGUACGGCGGAGAAGCCGCAGCCGAUGUACUCUCGGUACCUUAGUUACUACGGCUGGAGUAACGACCCGUGACACGAAAACCACAUACUAUACCGACCCUCUUUUGUGUAUCAAAGGACGACCAAAUAAUGUAUAGUCGGUCAUGACAUGCCUCAUCAUAUAUUCCUGCAAAAUGACAUCAUACCGACUCCGUCACUGAUCGAACCAUCAAUCAUGAUCGACUCUUUUAAGUACUACGACCGACCCUCGUUUUUCAAAUAUCCGAAUCAACAACAUAACCAAGAUAACAACAUACCCCUAUAUACGUAUCUAUACAUUGUACACCCAAGGUUCGUACGAAGGCUCUUUUUCAUUUUAAUGUAUAUGAGGGAGGUAAGCCUUAAUGAACAGUGUUUUUACCUACAUAGAUGUUGAUUUUAUGUAGCUCUAUGUAAGUAAAAAACCUGCACAUUAAGCUUGCUUCCCUCAUGUUAAA
Molecule: ribosomal RNA, 1986 nt
Filed under: Triticum aestivum (bread wheat)
Lineage: Eukaryota; Viridiplantae; Streptophyta; Magnoliopsida; Poales; Poaceae
Description: partial small subunit ribosomal RNA
Source: RNAcentral